This 1151-nucleotide long non-coding RNA is filed under the name Nicotiana tabacum (common tobacco). RNAcentral describes it as "long non-coding RNA (NTAB_LNC019223)". Lineage: Eukaryota; Viridiplantae; Streptophyta; Magnoliopsida; Solanales; Solanaceae. The record is from RNAcentral.
GUUGUAGAAUCGAUUGUUUGACUGGUGUCAAUUGGACUGAGGUCUACGUAUUGGCUCAAGGAGUUUUUAGGUGAGUUGAUAUAACCCUUUACUAAAGUGGUUUAACUCACAAAAGCACGCAUACAAGGUGUUUGAUGAAUUGCUUAAAAGAGUUUAUCUUUAUUUAAUUAGAGCGAGUGAGUACCCAUUAAUGUAGAAUUUGUUCUAGCAAAAGUUUAGAUGAUCUAUUACGCUAUAUGUGCUUAAAUUUUCAGAUUUUUGCGUUGUUCUUAUAUGCUAUUUUCAUGUUGAAAAUUAUGAAGAAGAGAAUCUUUGAAAAUAUUUUUAUAUGUUUAUUUUAUUCUUAUGCCAUGCUUUACAUUUAAGGACACCAAUAUGAGCAUGUACAUAAUGUUCUAUAAAGAAAAGAUUUAGACUUGAAAAGUCACAAGAAGAAGUUUUAGAAAGAAAAGAUUUUUGGGGAGUAUCCUUUAUUCUGAGAAGGGGUCAUCAUCCAGGCCGAGGGUCCUGACCAAGGCGUUGACUUCCUGAAACUACUUGUGCCAAAGUAGGGAGCAUACGAGCCGAGGGUCUCGUUGCUGAGAAUUUACUUAGCCAUGCUAAGGUAUGAUACAUAAGCGCUGAGAACCAUGAAGCGAGUGGCACCUCGUGGAUUGGGCCUAUUCGAUCAGGUUGGGAUCGAACCCGUGCCGAUCACAUGGUGACUUAGACAGAAUUAAGUCAGGAUAGUUGGAACUCCCAAAUUAUAAAGUGAAGUAUUUUUUUUAAAGAAAGAAAAAGGAAAAGAAUUUUUUUUAGAAUAUUCAUAAAUUGCUAUUAUGCAAUUAUUUUAGAAUUAUUCUUAUAAGCUUUAUGUUUUACAUGCAUUUAGAACCUUUGCUUGUAACGUAUAUGUUAUUAAAGUUUCUCCCCCUGUUGUUGAGACUCACUGAGUACAGUGGAUGGUACUGACGUUCUCUUUGGGGAACCUACGUUGGUCUGCGGUACAACGUAGGAACUGGAUUUGCAGGCGAGCAGGUUACGAGUUAGGAUUUCCUUCCCUUCCAAUGAUAUUGGUGAGCUCCGCUUUUGUUCGUGGAGUAUUCUUAGAGUCAUUUUCAUUUAGCUAUUUCUUUGUUUAUUUAGAGACCUGGCCAGGAAAUCUCAUGUCC